CCCGCUCUCUCUCCUAAUCAUCCUCAAAUUCAUGUCACCCUCGUCGUCGUCACUGUCCAUGGUCAUGUCCUCCACUGCAACUUUAUCUUCGCAAUCUCUGCCAUAUUUGAGUUUGCAUCAUUACUGCUGAUGUCGGUGUAGGUGUGGGCGAGGAGAGAAGGACGCGGCGUCAAUGUGGGGACGGUGGAGGAGGAGGAGAAAAACGAACGGUAGAAAAAGGAAAAAAAAAAGGAAUAAAUGUAAUUUGGUCAAUUUUUUUUUAAAAAAUAGGCAUAAUAUGCAAAACUCAAAAAAGUAGUCUAUGUUUGCAAAAUUG
RNAcentral lists this long non-coding RNA (316 nucleotides) under Ananas comosus (pineapple). RNAcentral's name for it is "long non-coding RNA (ACOM_LNC033543)". Lineage: Eukaryota; Viridiplantae; Streptophyta; Magnoliopsida; Poales; Bromeliaceae. The record is from RNAcentral.